UUCUAAAGAUUCAGGUGUUGUUGGGGUUGAAUAGAAGGUGGAGUGUUUGAAAGAUUGAGAGAAUUCAUCUACAAAUGUCAUGGUUUUGGUGAUACGCCAUAUUGUUACACCAGCUAAGAUUACUGAUGCGGCAGAAUAAGUCUGUAGAUGUCGACAUGAUCUUGAUGUGGUUUAUUGAUACAACAGUGGUCAUAAAUCAAACAAGUUUGGACUUGUUAGUCUUUUAACAUCUUAGCGUUGUCGUACAUCGGCAACAAACAAUCAUGUAUUUUCUUUCACAGAUAGAAGAACAAACUAUAUAUGUCCUUAUUGCUCAGUGUUCUAUUUUGAUCCA
Molecule: long non-coding RNA, 334 nt
Organism: Dioscorea cayenensis subsp. rotundata (Guinea yam)
Lineage: Eukaryota; Viridiplantae; Streptophyta; Magnoliopsida; Dioscoreales; Dioscoreaceae
Exons: 4
Source: RefSeq, a predicted model, not a curated record